UACGAGGGGGGCAAGCGUUGUUCGGAAUUAUUGGGCGUAAAGGGCGCGUAGGCGGUUUGACAAGUCUGAUGUGAAAUCUAUGGGCUCAACCCAUAGCCUGCAUUAGAAACUGUCGGGCUUGAGUAUGGGAGAGGUGAGUGGAAUUUCCGGUGUAGCGGUGAAAUGCGUAGAUAUUGGAAGGAACACCUGUGGCGAAAGCGGCUCACUGGACCAUAACUGACGCUGAGGCACGAAAGCGUGGGGAGCAAACAGG
This 253-nucleotide ribosomal RNA is filed under the name uncultured bacterium. RNAcentral describes it as "partial 16S ribosomal RNA". It matches the Rfam family "Bacterial small subunit ribosomal RNA", at positions 524 to 776 of the family's 1533-position model. The record is from RNAcentral.